UACGGGAGGCAGCAGGGGGGAAUAUUGCCCAAUGGGCGGAAGCCUGACGCAGCGACGCCGCGUGGGGGAUGACGCCCUUCGGGUUAUAAACCUCUUUCAGCAGGGACGAAGCUAACGUGACGGUACCUGCAGAAGAAGCCCCGCCUAAUUACUUCCCAGCAGCCGCGGUAAUACUUAGGGCGCAAGCGUUGUCCGUAAUUAUUGGGCGUAAAGAGCUCGUAGGCGGUUUGUCGCUUCUGUCGUGAAAGCCCACGGCUUAACUGUGGGUCUGCGGUGGAUACGGCCAGCCUAGAGGCAGGUAGGGGAGAAUGGAAUUCCCGGUGUAGCGGUGAAAUGCGCAGAUAUCGGGAGGAACACCGGUGGCGAAGGCGGUUCUCUGGCCCUGUACUGACGCUGAGGAGCGAAAGCGUGGGG
Molecule: ribosomal RNA, 414 nt
Filed under: uncultured bacterium
Lineage: Bacteria
Description: bacterial SSU rRNA
Rfam family: Bacterial small subunit ribosomal RNA
Source: RNAcentral